GUCACUAAAUCACCACCACCAGGCUUCUUGUAUAGGAAGAAAAUAAUUGCCUUUUUGCUUAAUGUAUAGCAAUGUAUAGCAAUGCUUAUUCUUUAGUCAGGUACUCAAUUGCAUUCAAAAUUAAUCUUAAUCGAAACAUGAUCCUUUAUUUCUCUGUAAAGUGCAACAAGCACUGUAACGGAGUAAGUGCUCAGUAACAUUUCAAACAACUACUGGUCAUGUUGAAUCGUGUGUGAAGCAAUCUGUUUGUUUUUGAAAAUAUUGAUAAAUUUAAGUAUUUUCUUUUUAAUCAAAACCUGUAGCUGACCUACAGAUCAAUUUUUAAAAAGACAAACUAAUAUCAAAUACCUACUAAAAGUACCAGACAGCGUUUCUUCUACUGCGCCAUAGGUUGUCAGACUUAGCUGGACAAGUAUCACAAGGGAAGCCUAGUGUGCUGCUGUCCAUAAGGUUGCAAAGAGUCAGACAUGACAGCAACUGAACUGAACUGAACUCUGGUUCCUAAUUCUUAGGAACCAGAAAUGCAGUCAAACACAUGAGACAUACGUGCUGCUUAAGUCAUUAUGUUUGAGGUAUAUCAUUCAUUCUUAGGAAGGAGGAGGCAAAAGAAACGAAAAUCAAGGUAAUCAAAAGUCUGGCCUGAAGGAGUUGCAAGUGUAAGUGGGAAAGAAGAGGAAGGAGAGAGUGAGAUAGGGAAUGAUAGAUCAAAACAGCUGAUUCUCUUUACUCUUCUGUCUUCCAACAAGCUCAGCUGUCUUUUAAAAAGAAGACAUGUCUUAAGAAGGAGCAAUCUGCAAGCCAGCCAGAAGCAGAGACGCCAUUGAUUGACCUGUGGAAAGCUCUCCUAUUAAUCCACUACUAGAUGCAUUCUAAGAAUGCCAACUGCAUUAUUCAGCCAUGGAAGAACUCCACUUGGAGGGAGUCGUGAUAAAUCAGAGCAUCAGCCCUUUCCGCUUGGACACCAAUAAGUCCUGCACUUCAAAAUUGCUGACCUAAAAAGGAUGCUCGAGAAGGAGCAAGGUUUUUUUUUUUUUCCUUGUAAAGAAAGCAACACCAGAAGCAGUGUGACUUCCUUGUUCACUUAGAUGCAUGCAAAAAAGAAAAGGUCACUGUCUUUGCUUCAGGACCUUCUUCCUUCCACCCUCACAGCAUGUGCCUGUGGACUGCCUGCUGAGGAACAUCCUACUGAGAACUUCCAGAUCAUUCCGUGAGAUGGUAACAGAAAGGAACCAAGGUGAAAAGAGAUGGGUGGUGUGGGGAACUCCCUGGUGAUCCAGUGGUUAAGACUCUUGUUCCACUGCAACAGGUGUGGGUUUGAUCCUGGUUGACUGAAUGGCAUGGCCAAAAAGCAAAAAUAAAAAAAGAUGAAUGAGAUUCC
Odocoileus virginianus texanus is the source of this 1378-nucleotide non-coding RNA. Lineage: Eukaryota; Metazoa; Chordata; Mammalia; Artiodactyla; Cervidae. The record is from RefSeq and is a predicted model, not a curated record.